RNAcentral lists this ribosomal RNA (560 nucleotides) under Sarcosphaera sp. 1 RGO-2016. Its description in RNAcentral is "eukaryotic LSU rRNA". The stretch from base 192 to 345 matches the Rfam family "5.8S ribosomal RNA". Lineage: Eukaryota; Fungi; Ascomycota; Pezizomycetes; Pezizales; Pezizaceae. The record is from RNAcentral.
AAGGAUCAUUAUUGAAAGCUUUUCUAGCUUUUACACCCCACUGUUUACCUCCCAUGUUGCUUUCACUAGACAGGUUCGGCUCGUGAGAGCAGAAUCCCUUGGCUGAUGCAUAUGCAUUGGCUGGGGAGUGCUGGUGAAAUACCUAAAACCUUUUUAAAAACCACUGUCUGAAAACAUUUUAAAACAUUAAAAACUUUCAACAACGGAUCUCUAGGCUCUUGCAUCGAUGAAGAACGCAGUGAAAUGCGAUAAGUAAUGUGAAUUGCAGAAUCUCGUGAAUCAUCGAAUCUUUGAACGCACAUUGCGCCUUAUGGUAAUCCGUAAAGCAUGCCUGUCUGAGCGUUAUAUACCACCACCUCAAGCAUCUUUAGCUUGGAUAGCCUUGGAAAAGCACUUACUAAAUGAGCUGCCUUCCAGAAAUCUAUAGGCGGUACGGUUGUUUCUAGACCGAGACGUAAUAUAAUAAAUAUCGUCUUCUAAAAGCAAUAUACCUGCCUUUAACCCACCUUUUAUCAUAUAUGGGUGACCUCAGAUCAGGUAGGGAUACCCGCUGAACUUAA